GAUGAACGCUGGCGGCGUGCCUAAUACAUGCAAGUCGAGCGAACAGACGAGGAGCUUGCUCCUCUGACGUUAGCGGCGGACGGGUGAGUAACACGUGGAUAACUUACCUAUAAGACUGGGAUAACUUCGGGAAACCGGAGCUAAUACCGGAUAAUAUAUUGAACCGCAUGGUUCAAUAGUGAAAGACGGUUUUGCUGUCACUUAUAGAUGGAUCCGCGCCGCAUUAGCUAGUUGGUAAGGUAACGGCUUACCAAGGCAACGAUGCGUAGCCGACCUGAGAGGGUGAUCGGCCACACUGGAACUGAGACACGGUCCAGACUCCUACGGGAGGCAGCAGUAGGGAAUCUUCCGCAAUGGGCGAAAGCCUGACGGAGCAACGCCGCGUGAGUGAUGAAGGUCUUCGGAUCGUAAAACUCUGUUAUUAGGGAAGAACAAAUGUGUAAGUAACUAUGCACGUCUUGACGGUACCUAAUCAGAAAGCCACGGCUAACUACGU
RNAcentral lists this ribosomal RNA (496 nucleotides) under uncultured bacterium. RNAcentral's name for it is "partial 16S ribosomal RNA". It matches the Rfam family "Bacterial small subunit ribosomal RNA", at positions 28 to 506 of the family's 1533-position model. The record is from RNAcentral.